Molecule: ribosomal RNA, 1458 nt
Filed under: Cyanobium sp. JJ19B5
Lineage: Bacteria; Bacillati; Cyanobacteriota; Cyanophyceae; Synechococcales; Prochlorococcaceae
Description: bacterial SSU rRNA
Rfam family: Bacterial small subunit ribosomal RNA
Source: RNAcentral
GAUGAACGCUGGCGGCGUGCUUAACACAUGCAAGUCGAACGAACCUUCGGGUUAGUGGCGGACGGGUGAGUAACGCGUGAGAAUCUGCCCUCAGGAGGGGGAUAACGGCUGGAAACGGCCGCUAAUACCCCAUAUGCCGAGAGGUGAAACGAAUUUCGCCUGAGGAUGAGCUCGCGUCUGAUUAGCUAGUUGGUGGGGUAAGAGCCUACCAAGGCAUCGAUCAGUAGCUGGUCUGAGAGGAUGAUCAGCCACACUGGGACUGAGACACGGCCCAGACUCCUACGGGAGGCAGCAGUGGGGAAUUUUCCGCAAUGGGCGCAAGCCUGACGGAGCAACGCCGCGUGAGGGAUGAAGGCCUCUGGGCUGUAAACCUCUUUUAUCAAGGAAGAAGAUCUGACGGUACUUGAUGAAUAAGCCACGGCUAAUUCCGUGCCAGCAGCCGCGGUAAUACGGGAGUGGCAAGCGUUAUCCGGAAUUAUUGGGCGUAAAGCGUCCGCAGGCGGUCUUGUAAGUCUGUCGUUAAAGCGUGGAGCUUAACUCCAUUUGAGCGAUGGAAACUGUAAGACUAGAGUGUGGUAGGGGCAGAGGGAAUUCCCGGUGUAGCGGUGAAAUGCGUAGAUAUCGGGAAGAACACCAGUGGCGAAGGCGCUCUGCUGGGCCAUAACUGACGCUCAUGGACGAAAGCCAGGGGAGCGAAAGGGAUUAGAUACCCCUGUAGUCCUGGCCGUAAACGAUGAACACUAGGUGUCGGGGGAAUCGACCCCCUCGGUGUCGUAGCCAACGCGUUAAGUGUUCCGCCUGGGGAGUACGCACGCAAGUGUGAAACUCAAAGGAAUUGACGGGGGCCCGCACAAGCGGUGGAGUAUGUGGUUUAAUUCGAUGCAACGCGAAGAUCCUUACCAGGGUUUGACAUCCUGCGAAUCUCUNGGAAACGAGAGAGUGCCUUCGGGAACGCAGUGACAGGUGGUGCAUGGCUGUCGUCAGCUCGUGUCGUGAGAUGUUGGGUUAAGACCCGCAACGAGCGCAACCCACGUCGUUAGUUGCCAGCAUUAAGUUGGGCACUCUAGCGAGACCGCCGGUGAUAAACCGGAGGAAGGUGUGGAUGACGUCAAGUCAUCAUGCCCCUUACAUCCUGGGCUACACACGUACUACAAUGCUACGGACAAAGGGCAGCAAACUCGCGAGAGCUAGCAAAUCCCAUAAACCGUGGCUCAGUUCAGAUCGUAGGCUGCAACUCGCCUACGUGAAGGAGGAAUCGCUAGUAAUCGCAGGUCAGCAUACUGCGGUGAAUACGUUCCCGGGCCUUGUACACACCGCCCGUCACACCAUGGAAGUUGGCCACGCCCGAAGCCGUUACUCCAACCCUUGUGGAGGAGGAUGUCGAAGGUGGGGCUGAUGACUGGGGUGAAGUCGUAACAAGGUAGCCGUACCGGAAGGUGCGGCUGGAUCACCUCCUAA